GAUGAACGCUGGCGGCGUGCCUAAUACAUGCAAGUCGAGCGAACAGACGAGGAGCUUGCUCCUCUGACGUUAGCGGCGGACGGGUGAGUAACACGUGGAUAACCUACCUAUAAGACUGGGAUAACUUCGGGAAACCGGAGCUAAUACCGGAUAAUAUAUUGAACCGCAUGGUUCAAUAGUGAAAGACGGUUUUGCUGUCACUUAUAGAUGGAUCCGCGCCGCAUUAGCUAGUUGGUAAGGUAACGGCUUACCAAGGCAACGAUGCGUAGCCGACCUGAGAGGGUGAUCGGCCACACUGGAACUGAGACGCGGUCCAGACGCCUACGGGAGGCAGCAGUAGGGAAUCUUCCGCAAUGGGCGAAAGCCUGACGGAGCAACGCCGCGUGAGUGAUGAAGGUCUUCGGAUCGUAAAACUCUGUUAUUAGGGAAGAACAAAUGUGUAAGUAACUAUGCACGUCCUGACGGUACCGAAUCAGAAAGCCACGGCUAACUACGUG
Molecule: ribosomal RNA, 497 nt
Filed under: uncultured bacterium
Lineage: Bacteria
Description: partial 16S ribosomal RNA
Rfam family: Bacterial small subunit ribosomal RNA
Source: RNAcentral